UGAUCGAAACAUACACACACACACACACUUGCACAUCAAGUAGCUAUGGCUCUUUAAGCAUGUAUAUUGCAACAAACCAAGUCGUGUGUGUGUGUAUUAGCCCUAUCAUCGGUUUACGUUGGAUUGUUUUUGUUUUCAGAGUGAUGGAAUAAAAUAAACAAAACAGAGGGAGCAGGAAAGAGGGGAGCAAGAGAAAAUGCAUGGAAAGAGUCAAAGUGGUUUUCUAUAUACAUUUGCUUUCUCUCUCACACGUGUCCUUCCCUGAUUCGUCUUGCUUGUAUGAGGAUGGAACAAACCAACCAUGAGGAUUAAAGAGGGAUCAGAAAGCAGCAUUCCAUGAGAAAAAAAAGCAAGGAGUUACAAAAAGAUAAGACAUACUGACACAAUUGUGUUCCUUGGAAGACAAUAGCUGAUUUUUGCAAGGGGGAUUUGGAACUAGAGCAUUGUGCAACCUCUCAUGUCAAAAAAAAGAAAGAAGAUGAUAUUAGAGAGGUUGAACGACAUUCUCUGGUCCUCUUCUGGUGCCGAAAUCAUGCAAUCAAAGCAUAAUUCUCGGUUAUCUGCAAAUGAAAAUCCCAGUCUUAGGGGAGCGCUAAUUCGUCUCCAUGAGAAUGGGCAAGACAUAAUCAUUCCUCGGUUAUGUAAUUUUAAGAAUGUUGUAAAAAGUUGAUCGAAAUUGACAAGUGCUUUUUAAUUCAAAAGCAUACCAACUUCCCUUUCUACUCAAACAUUGUAUUGGUUCGUCUACACAUAAUAAACAUGAACAUGAAACAAAAA
Capsella rubella is the source of this 777-nucleotide long non-coding RNA. RefSeq lists it as uncharacterized. The record is from RefSeq and is a predicted model, not a curated record. Lineage: Eukaryota; Viridiplantae; Streptophyta; Magnoliopsida; Brassicales; Brassicaceae. The transcript is spliced from 2 exons.